Long non-coding RNA from Equus caballus (horse), 3726 nucleotides. RefSeq lists it as uncharacterized. The record is from RefSeq and is a predicted model, not a curated record. Lineage: Eukaryota; Metazoa; Chordata; Mammalia; Perissodactyla; Equidae.
CUAGCAAUAGAAGGUCAAUAUGAGUGACCACAACAAAAACCUCGCCCUAUUUUUGUUUCCUGGGAGGAAAAUUCCAGCCUGAGUCACAGGCAGGCGGCUCUGGCAGCCCCCACCUUGCCAGCAGAGAUUCUCCUCCUCCUCCUGCCUGAGGGGCCCAAGGGUGCAGGGGGAGGACCCAUUCUGCUGCUCGCUUAGAGGAUCCCUUUUAAAUCUCUUGUCUGCUUCUCUCUCCCCCAAGGACCCCGCCUGCCCCACCAAGUCCUGCCAAUUUCUUUCCAAUUCUUUGUGUCUGUAGCCCAAAACCUCUCUAGGGGAUAGCGGACUGUCCCCUCUCGGAGUGUGGGGACAGAAUCCAAUCCCCACCCACUGUCCUCCUGCGGGGCGGGCCGGGGACCGCAGCCAACACAGCACCGCCAGACAUUAGGCGUGUGCUUCCCGCGGCCCUGAGCAGACCCUGCCCUGCGCCUCCUCCCUCUGCCUGCUCAUCUCCUUCAGAUCCAGAGUCUUCGGGGGACACAGGACUUGGCCGGUCUGUGGUAAAAUCGACCCAUGGAGCUACCUUCCCAAAAUUGGUUUGUUUACCCAGGUUGCAUUUUAGGAGAAAUAAAGUAAUUGGCAGGGGCCCUGAGGGCCUCCGUAACUCACAUGGGCCUGACCUGGAGGACUGUGCUGACCGCCCUGCCUCGGGUCUGUCUGCUGAAAAUCAUGCUUGGGUGCAGCCUGAGUGUGAUGAGAACAGGAGCACAUCUCCCUGAGCCUUCGAGAGGAAGGACGUCCCCACUGCUUGGAGGUGGGGGGCUGAGGUCAGGAGAAGGGAGAGGAUCCGAGAUGAGAGAUGUCCCUCCUAACCAGGCUCUUCUGCCACUGGUGUUUUGAAAAUACCAUGAAGCACCCAAGGCGGAGACAGGCUGCCGAGCUCGCUGCUGGCUGCAAGCCGCCGUUUCUCCCCCCUGCUUCCUGUCUGCCCACUGUUGCUCUGCUUCCCUUCAGAGCCCCUCUUGCCUCUGUCGCUGUGGCUCAGGCAGUGCUCCUUGUGUUUCUGAGCUCUCUGACUUUUAAUAUUUGACCUUCGCCGAGACAGAAACCUGGCCAGUCGGAGGGGAGGAUGGACGAUGCGGGCUGGCGUCAGGACAGCGGUUUCUUACCCACAGCAUCUGCAUCCGGUUAUCUUUUAGAGACGAUACCAAAUUUAAACUGCAUAAGACUAGGGUAUUUCUCAGAGCCAAACCAUGUGUUUUGUUUUGAUUUUUUUGCCUUUAAAGGCUAAAGCUGGAUUUUUAAGACUUCUAGAAGAGCAAGAAGGUUGGAAGGAGAGACAGAUGUGCUGGCGGAUCACCAGAGCGUGGAGUUAAUUAUUGUCGCUUGUACAAACCUGUCAAUAUUUUUCUUCUCACAUUAAAACUGCACUCUCUCCCCUUGGCUGUGUCAACGAUAUUAACCCAUUGUGACCCUUGAGAGAAGGAGGCAGGGCUUUAUUCGGGGAGAGAAAUACAAAUGCAAAAUAAACAGGGCUACAAUGACAGACUGGAUCUCACACACAAUCAUUCUGAAAAUUUGGGCUGGAUGGGAGGUUGGUGAGAAGGCAAGAAACCCCUGACUCAUCACUGUUUUCUGGCGAGGAGCCCUGUGCUUCACUCUGUUUACGGAAUCUCAGGGCUGAAGGGGAACCUUAAGGACUCCCUCUGCCCCCCAUCUUUCCUGCCCCUCACACCCUCAGCAAGGAUCUUUCUCAGGCCUGCUCGGCCACCCCCGGGUCAGGGACACUCUGUGCUGCUGGAGCCGGCCUUCGUUUGAGAGAAGGUCUGUCUUUCUGGAGCUUCCACACUUUGGGACUGGCCUCUCAGAGCUCUGAGGAAAUGGGGAUUACUCAUCUCUGGCAGCCUGUGAUGACCAAGCCUCAAGUCAGGCCAGAACAGAUGGCCUUUUAACCUACCUGGCUCCCAGGAGCACAGGCCAUUCCUUGACCCUAAGCCCCCAACACAGGGGUGUCCACAAUGGGAGGGCUGACCCACAGCCAACAUUAGCAUCCUCCACGCCCCUGCCCUUCUGAGUGUGGACCACGCACCAGCAGCCUCAGUAUCCCCUGGAGCUCAUUGGAGAUGAAGAAUCUGGAGUCCCACCGUGGACCUGCUGAAUCAGACGCUGCAUUUGAACAAGAUCCAUUGAGCAAAAGCGUUGUCUGCACAUUCAUCUGCACGUUCUCCCUUGCCCAUGAGGCUUGCGAAGGACACUGGCUGACCUUGACCCAUGUGCCUGAUUUGGGGCCCCAGAAUGUUGGUGCAGAGCACUGCUGGGAACCAGUGACCUCGUCCAGGAAAACUGGACUUCCACAGUGGACAUAGUGCUUUCAAGGAGGAAACCUCGAAGGAUGACAAAGACAUCAGGUGAAUGCUUUGAGGACGUCCCCUUGAGGAGGUGACCUUGGGGACGAGCCCUUAAAUCUGCCCCCAAGGCUGGGAGACACAAGCUCAGGAAGGCUGCCGCCCUUCCCCCGUGCAGGCCCUCAGGCCUAGCUGCUGGGAAGAGGUCCAGCGAUGACUAAGAGGACUGUGAGAUUCUGGAGCCUUUGUAAAUUUCCCAAGCUCGUUGUUAUUGCUCUUAGCCUCUAUUUACUCCUGUAAUUUGUUUCAAAAAAGAUUAAUAGUAGUGCAACCACUUUUCGGGGCUGGCUUCCCAAAGACUGAGGAGGGUGGGGGCAGACAGCAGAGAAGUGGGGAGUCAUAUCUCUCACAGCCCAGCCUGCGACCUGGAACAGAAGAGCUGGCACCAGUGCAGAGAAGAGGAGAAGGGGUCAGGAGGCGAAGGAAGGGACUCUCGCAGGCCUGGACCGUGCCUCAGGGUUUCGGAGGCAGAAGGACCAUGCGGUUGACUUCUCAGCUCCCGUCCUGGGAGACUAAUGAGUCAUGGGGGAAGCCCAGGGAUUGCUGCGUGGGAGGAGCCAUCUUGCUCGCUUCCAUUUCUCUUUGGCUCAACCCUUGGAGGAAGUUACUACUGUCAUUCCAAUCUUGCAAAUGAAGAAACUGAGGCUCGGAGAGGGUCGGACUUGGCCAAGGUUCCAAAGUGGUAGCCCUCCCUCUUGCUGAGUGUACGUCCUGGCUUGGACCUCCAGUGCAAUGGUGAACAGUGGGGGAUGUGCACGACUGCGGGGGAAGCGUGUGCUGUUCUGCCGUCAAGCAUAAUGCGGGCUGUAGAACCUUCCUUUAUUCCCAGUUUGCUGAGAAUUGUCAUUUUUACCAGGAAUGGAUACUGAAUUUUGCCAAAUGUCUUUUCCAACUUCUAUUGAGAUGAUUAUAUGAUUUUUCUUCUCUGUUCUGUUAAUGUAGUGGAUUACAUUGAAUGUGAAUGUUAAAUCAAUCUUACGUUUAUGACGAGGUUACAACCUUACAUACAUAAGGCAUAUGGCAAUCAUGGGUUGUCUUUUUUAUGUAUUGAUGGAUUUAAUUUACUAAAGUUUUGUUUAAGAUUUUUGCAUCUAUGCUCAUGAGUAAGAUUGGUCUGUAAAUUGCUUUUACAAAAUGAAUUGCGAAUUAUUUAUUUAUUUGUUUAUUUAUUUUUCUGGAGGAGUUUGUACAAGGUUAGUAUUAUUUCUUCCAUAAAUAUUUAGAAGAAUUUACUAGUGAAGCCAUUUGAGCCUGAAGUUAUCUAUGUAGGAAUGUUUUAUAUUAGAAAUCCAGGGCUGGCCCCAUGGCUGAGUGGUUAAGUUCACGUGCUCCGCUUUGGCAGCCC